GAUGAAGAACGCAGCGAAAUGCGAUAAGUAAUGUGAAUUGCAGAAUUCAGUGAAUCAUCGAAUCUUUGAACGCACAUUGCGCCCGCCAGUAUUCUGGCGGGCAUGCCUGUUCGAGCGUCAUUUCAACCAUCAAGCCCCCGGCUUGUGUUGGGGACCUGCGGCUGCCGCAGGCCCUGAAAACCAGUGGCGGGCUCGCUGUCACACCGAGCGUUGUAGAUUUUCAUCUCGCUCAGGGCGUGCUGCGGGUUCCGGCCGUAAAAAGCCUUAUUUACCCAAGGUUGACCUCGGAUCAGGUAGGAAGACCCGCUGAACUUAAGCAUAUCAAUAAGCGGAGGA
This 336-nucleotide unclassified non-coding RNA is filed under the name soil metagenome. RNAcentral describes it as "partial contains 5.8S ribosomal RNA, internal transcribed spacer 2, and large subunit ribosomal RNA". The stretch from base 1 to 120 matches the Rfam family "5.8S ribosomal RNA", at positions 35 to 154 of the family's 154-position model. The record is from RNAcentral.